Non-coding RNA from Merluccius polli (Benguela hake), 84 nucleotides. NCBI's taxonomy places the organism in Eukaryota, Metazoa, Chordata, Actinopteri, Gadiformes, Merlucciidae. The record is from the annotation of a GenBank genome assembly.
GUCAGGAUGCCUGAGUGGUCAAAGGUGCCAGACUCAAGUUCAGGUCUCCAAUUGGAGGCGUGGGUUCAAAUCCCACUCCUGACA